UUUAUGUAUGCGAGCAGGACCUUAAAUGUAGCUAUCGAAAGGGUGUGUGGUACCGUCUGUCCCGUAGUACUCUGAAAUUGAAGAGACUGCAUACAACUUGAUUAACCAGUACAUGCAUACAGUGCCUUUUGGAUAGCUUCAACGGGCAAUGGCAACCUUGGUCGACUAGAAGGUACGUGCAAUAUGCACGGUCACGUGCAAACGGCAGUGGAAGUGAAACGUGUUGUACACCAUGGGUUCGACCAUACCUCGUUUUUAGUGAAAAGAAGGAUUACCCCCCAGCCUGAAUGAUGAACACAGCAAUCUACUAAAAUGAACCAAGUAUUUAAAUAUCAAGAGCAGCUCCGGUACAAGAAACGAAAAUUUACACGAUGAAAUGCCAAAAAAAAUAACAUUGCAGUUUUAGUAACUACAUGACAUAUCUUUUUUUUUAAGGUAUCUACAUGACAUAUCUUGGUACAUUGAGAGAUUGACCAACAAUUACUUUCUUUGCAUGUUCAUAGUAUGUGUGAUACAGAAUUGAUGUCAUUAGCAUGUAGGAGCAUUUACAAGUAGCCUCAUGUUUUGAACAUGACUAUAAACAAAAUUUUGGAAUUUUGA
RNAcentral lists this long non-coding RNA (600 nucleotides) under Triticum aestivum (bread wheat). RNAcentral describes it as "long non-coding RNA (TAES_LNC007955)". Lineage: Eukaryota; Viridiplantae; Streptophyta; Magnoliopsida; Poales; Poaceae. The record is from RNAcentral.